GACGAACGCUGGCGGCGUGCCUAAUACAUGCAAGUCGAACGCUUCUUUCCUCCCGAGUGCUUGCACUCAAUUGGAAAGAGGAGUGGCGGACGGGUGAGUAACACGUGGGUAACCUACCCAUCAGAGGGGGAUAACACUUGGAAACAGGUGCUAAUACCGCAUAACAGUUUAUGCCGCAUGGCAUAAGAGUGAAAGGCGCUUUCGGGUGUCGCGGAUGGAUGGACCCGCGGUGCAUUAGCUAGUUGGUGAGGUAACGGCUCACCAAGGCCACGAUGCAUAGCCGACCUGAGAGGGUGAUCGGCCACACUGGGACUGAGACACGGCCCAGACUCCUACGGGAGGCAGCAGUAGGGAAUCUUCGGCAAUGGACGAAAGUCUGACCGAGCAACGCCGCGUGAGUGAAGAAGGUUUUCGGAUCGUAAAACUCUGUUGUUAGUGAAGAACAAGGACGUUAGUAACUGAACGUCCCCUGACGGUAUCUAACCAGAAAGCCACGGCUAACUACGUG
Molecule: ribosomal RNA, 508 nt
Filed under: uncultured bacterium
Lineage: Bacteria
Description: partial 16S ribosomal RNA
Rfam family: Bacterial small subunit ribosomal RNA
Source: RNAcentral